GGAAGCCAGAGUCAAGGAAGCCGAACACCUGUGUCAGUGUUGUGGAGGAGGCUGCCACGUAGUGUUGAUGGCAGGGUUAGUCAUCAGAGUUAGGACAUGUCUUACCACAUAGAUGGACAAGCUGAAAGUUCUUCGUCCUGUAAUUACCUAAAUGAGAACAGUAGCAGCUUCUUUGAUCAGCUGUCCCCAGCACCACCAGAUGCUAGCCCAGUGCCCAGCAGCCAGCAGUCAGACAUGGCAGCACCAAUAAAUGAUGUAGCCAGUCCACAAGCUGCACCUGCCAGUCUUGCUGUAGGUCACCUGUCUCCUUAUUCUCCGCAGGCCAACCCACUAGUCUCUCAACAAGCUGCUGUGUCAACACCUGGGAAUAUUGCUGCCAGCCAGCAAGAAACACCGGUAAAAUCCCUUAAUUCAACAACGUAUCAAGAAUCAGCAGCUGUAACUCCAAGCCUUCAUUUAGCCUCCCAACAGGAGACUCCACUUGCACCCCAGGCUUAUCCUUCUAGUCAACAGACAAGCCAUUUUGCAUCUCACAGUGUAUUAGCCACACCUUAUAACAUUCCAUUAACUCCUCAAUAUAAGCCAUCUACUGAAGGAUCAUCCUUUGUUCCGAGGACUCAGACUCCAGAACCCCCCAAAAAUAUUUUAUUUGACCAACUUCCAGUGCCAACACAGUUGACUCCAAUUCAAUCUGCAAUGAUGAUGAGCAUGACCACUUCAAUGUUGGUUACAAACACUUCCCCAAAUGCUAGUAUGGAUGUAGAAGCAACAACAGUAAAGUUUCAGCAGGCGAGCCUUGACAGUGAUGCAGAUUCCAACAUCUCACCACAGACAAGUUUAACAAAUUCAGGUAAUACUUCCAUGGAUAGCAUAUCAAUUUCAAAUCCUGUAUCAACCACCCUCUCUGCAUCACUAGCACCAAGCCAUCCAAAAAGUCCUGCUCCUAACCCCAAGCCUCCUGCAAAUAUAAACCCAGCACAAGAGACUUUAACAGACAAGUCGAAACAAAAUGAAUCCAAGUUAUUUAAAUACUUCACCACUACUAAAACUUCAAAUCCAUUUGAAAGUAUUGGUGGUCAGACUCCAGGAGGUAACAGUGACUCAGCAAUGAUCAAUCCUGCUUAUAUGUCACCAACAGAUAGCUUCAACAUCAGCAAUGCCAUUCCAUCUCCUGAUUCCUUUUUGACCCCAGCAACGGAACAGGAUGUCUUUACUGCAAGUCUGCUAUCAAGUGAUGCUGACAGAAGACAUGAUGCUUGGAUCCCCGCAGAAACCACUAGACAAGCCUUGGUAGCUAUGUCAACAAGCCCCCCAGGAACCUACUUCCCUGAAAAGGAGCUACUCACCAUGCCAGGAAUUGCUGUAAAAGAAGACUUUGGGGACCCAGUGAAAAACUUGGUGAGAACAUAUCUUGGUGAAGAAUUUGCAUCAAAGCGAGUGGUCUUAACUGCAGCUUCUGUGACUCAAGAUGAUCGUGGUCUUCGGCAAUUGAUUGCUUCAGGCUGUUACCAUGCAGCAGUUAAUCUAACCACACAACUUCUAACAGUGUAUGGCCAGGGAGAAGGGAGAGCUGGUCAUCCAAGUAAACAUACUGCACACUCUAUUCAACUAUGGUUUACAAGAAUUGCUUUGCUCAUCAAACUUCGACGAUUCUCACUAGCAGAGGUAGAAUGUCAGUACUUUGGGGAUUUAGAUGCUCCAGACUUGUACUUUGAGUUCUAUCCAGAGCUCUAUGGAGGCAGGAAAGGAUCCAUGGUGCCAUUUGGAUUUAGGCUGUUGGUUGGUGAACUCCCUCAACAUUUGGGGAAACACACUCAAGCCUUGGACCGCCUUAAUGCCUUGCUGAAAAACUGUAACCAAAUAAUUGAGAACCUAAACAGUGGUCUAAGUGAAGAUGGCAGCAACCUAGAGAUGACUCCUAACAUGCGGGAUGACUCACUCAAGCUGUGGAAAACACGAAGACAAAGAGUCAUAUACUCAAUCACAAAUUGUGCUGUCAGUUUAAAGGACUUUCGUUUGGCUGGAGGUCUUCUGGAGCGAUUGAUACAGGAAGACCCAAAUUCUGCUGCUGGACUAUACUCAGCCCUGGGGCGAUUGUGUUUACAACUUGGUGAUGUAGCUGCAGCUCAGUUUUGGUUACGUGUUACAUAAAUACCUGUAGAUAAAAACCUGGACACAGACAUGACACCUCUGUCCAGAAUAAAAGAGGACACCUUCAAUCAUUACCUAGAACACACUCCACCACCUCCCCACCACGACCCUGUUCAAGGCCUCCUGCAUUCUGCAUAUAUAUCUAUUGCACAGAACGCAUUUAAGGAUGCAGCUGAAAUAUUACAACAAGC
RNAcentral lists this unclassified non-coding RNA (2342 nucleotides) under Homarus americanus (American lobster). RNAcentral describes it as "protein CASP-like, transcript variant X3". Lineage: Eukaryota; Metazoa; Arthropoda; Malacostraca; Decapoda; Nephropidae. The record is from RNAcentral.